This is a long non-coding RNA of Fukomys damarensis (Damara mole-rat), 353 nucleotides long. RefSeq lists it as uncharacterized. NCBI's taxonomy places the organism in Eukaryota, Metazoa, Chordata, Mammalia, Rodentia, Bathyergidae. The transcript is spliced from 3 exons. The record is from RefSeq and is a predicted model, not a curated record.
AGGGAUUGGAAGAGCAUGUGAUGUUACUAGGAAGCGCUUGUGAUGUCACUAGUGGCUUGUGUCAUCUCUAGUUGCCAGGAGGUAGCGAGUAUCAGGUCACUGUCUUGAUGGGAAGAGGCAUGGUGGGAAGAAGGCUGUCCUUUAGUGGCAAAAGCCAUAUUUUUUAGUGGCUGGUACUCCACCAUGAUGAGUUCUGUGACUGGUUGGUAAAUGCCCUCAUGUGUUCCUGCAAGAAAUUUUGAAAACAGCAGAACAGACACAGGCCUACCAUGGCCAGAAGACACACACAGUGAUAGGGUUAUGUGACAUACUACCCAAAUGGAUAACUGAAAAGAGGAACAGAUCAGCCAAGC